RNAcentral lists this transfer RNA (67 nucleotides) under Marmota monax (woodchuck). RNAcentral's name for it is "tRNA.Ala". The record is from RNAcentral. Lineage: Eukaryota; Metazoa; Chordata; Mammalia; Rodentia; Sciuridae.
GGUUAUGGCUCAGUGGUAGAGCACUCACCUAGCAUGUAUGAGGCACUGGGUUCAAUCCUCAGCACCA